AGAGAGUGUUUCCGGAGCGCCUACUGUGUGCUCCUCCAUGGGGGUGGGGGCACUACCAGGCACAAAGGGUGCCAGUCCCCGUACCUUUGUAAGUUCGCCUCCUCCUCUGGGAGCUUGCCCUUGUGGGGAUGGGGAAACUGAGGCUCAGUCGGCUCAGAGUAACUCCCAGGUGCUAAAGGACCAGUUGUUUUGUCCGCUCAUAAGGCAAACGGCGCGGCGAAGACCACUUGGGAUAAAACCCCAAGCCUAGCGCAGAUGGUCGGCCAGGGGAGCCUCUGGUGGGCAGUCACAAGCCCACGGAUUCCACCAGUGACCCCAGGCCUGCUCACAUGAGUGACGCGUUCCUCCCCAUGGCCAGCAGCAGAGCGGACUGAAUGCUGGGUGACAGGCUGGCCUCAGACUCCGGUGCUCAAGGAUAUUCUUGCUUCAGGUUCCCAAAUAGCACUGCACACUGCACACGUGAAUCCCCAUGCCUGAUGCUUGUUUGAAGGCCCUAGAACUGGUCAGAAAGGAUCUGAGAACAGCUGAAGGAAACAUACAAGCCAGGGGCCACUGUGGUGCCUCAUAAAUUUCAAAUAGGGGAUCCCGUCCUGGUCCAGCGCCACUGAUCCAGCAACCUUGAACCCAGAUGGAAGGGACCCUACCUGGUGCUACUGACAAGCCCCACUGCCAUCAAAGUUGACAGCAUCCCAGCUUGGAUCCAUGCAUCCCACAUAAAAUUGGCCCCUCCUGCAGCUCGAGAUGACUCCUGGAAGCUGGACUGGACUGAUGAUCCUCUUAAGCUACACUUACGUCACUUGCGCCUCACUGAAAGCUAAAAACCCCCAUCAGCCUAUGACUCUUACCUGGCAGGACAAUCACAAACUGGGGACACUGUUUGGUCUACCACCAAGGUUGCCCCCCUAGGAACUUGGUGGCCCCCUUUGUUUCCUGAAAUUUGCUCCCUGAUAGCAGGAUUAGACUUUUGGGACAUUACUGCACUAACUCAUGAGGAAAUACCCUCGGAAGAAGUGCAUUUACAAAAGCGGUCCCUUCACCAAGGAGUAGUUAGGCCAACACAUAGCCGAUCGCCUGGGAUGUAAAGAUAGACCCACACAGGAAAAACUACGGCAGACCUCCUUUUAUGUUUGUCCCAGAGAUGGCAGAUCUAGGUCGGAGAUACAUAGGUGUGGAGGACUAGAAUAUUUUUAUUGCAAACAAUGGGGAUGUGAGACUUCCAGAGAUACCAAUUGGAAUCCCACAUCCUCAUGAGACUUGAUCACUGUCUCCAGGAGAAAUAAAGGCUUAGAUUCUCUCAAUAUCACCUUUACAGAUCCAGGGAAGCAGUUUACUGAUUGGCCUAAGGGACGUACCUGGGGGCUCAGAUUUUACAUGCAAGGAUGGGACAAUGGCUUCAUUUUCCACAUUAAUCUCAGGAUUGAGAGCCCUCCCACUAUUCUUACUGGGCCAGGCAAAGUACAGGAGUCUCCUCCCCGAUGAGUACUACCACCACCCCCUCCUCCCAUGAUUCCUGAGGCCCAACCCCAGGGGACGAUCGUUCCCAGUGCAGAAACCUCCACCCUGCCUCCUACUACUGGUGAAAGACUCUUUGGUCUCAUUCAAGGGGCUUUUAAGGCUCUCAAUGUUACAAAUCCUAAAGCUGCGACUUCAUGUUGGCUCUGUUUGGCAGCUGGGCCCCCUUAUUAUGAAGGAGAGGCAGCAGAUGGAUCAAUUACUAUGACUUCAGAUGCAAGCCUCUGCCCCUGGGGGCAAUCUAAGAAAAGUCUCACCUUAGCCGAAAUUUCAGGAUCAGGGAAAUGUACAGGGGUUGUACCUCCUUCUCAUAGACACCUCUGCAACCAUACCUGGACUAUUCCUGCUUCUUCUAAAAACCAAUAUCUUUGGCCUGGCAACCAUUAUUGGUGGGCUUGCAGCUCCAGAUUGACUCCCUGUGUUGCUACUGCUGUUUUUGAUCAGUCAAAAGAUUUUUGCGUGUUAACACAAUUAGUCCCUAGGAUAUACUACCACCCUGACAACAAGGUCCUAGACGCUUACGAUUUCAAAAAUACCAGAAAGAAGAGAGAGCCUAUCUCCCUCACCCUCACAAUUGUCAUGGGUUUGAGACUAACAGCUAGAAUUGGUAAGGGGACCGCUACCUUGGUAACUGGAGCCCAACAACUGAAACAAGGUCUAGAAGGACUGCAGGCAGCAAUGACAGUAGACAUUAAGGCUUUAGAAAAGUCAGUUAGUCAGUUAGAAGAGUCUUUGACCUCAACUCUCUGAAGUAGUCUUACAGAAGAGGCUUAGAUCUAUUAUUCCUCAAAGAAGGAGGACUAUGUGCAGCCCUAAAGGAAGAAUGCUGCUUCUAUAUUAACCAUUCAGGAGCAAUUAGAGACUCUAUGGCCAAACUCAAAGAAAGGUUAGAAAAACGAAAACGAGAGUGAGAAGCUAAUGAAGCAUGGUUUGAAGGUUGGUUCACAAAAUCCCAUGGAUGACUACUUUACUAUCUGUCCUCAUGGGCCCCAUAUUAGUUUUGCUUCUUUUAUUUACUACAGGCCCCUGCCUAAUUAACAAGAUAAUGGCUUUCGUCAGACAGUGGGUCAGUGCUGUACAGGUUCUUAUGCUGCGCCAACAAUAUCAAAAAGUAGAACAGGCUGAUACAUGCUGUACUGAGUCAGAGGUUUUAUUUUUCUAGUUCUAGGAUUAGAACUAUUUACUAGAAGGAGUGGGGAAUGUAAGACCCCAACUCAAUGUGUUUCUUAGAUCCCUAGAAACGAAGCCCAGCAUGGAAUUCUUUGUUCUUUCACCUUCAGCCUGAGAGAAAGAUGACCACUGGGUGACCCACCCAGGCUCCUGACCCAUAGUGUAAGGGACCAAGAAUGUUUGCCGAAGAUAGCCUGUAACCUUUCUGUGAGAGAUGAGCUAUAAUUCACCAUCCCCAUUUUUACGAUGUUUACUCAGCUUCCCCAUUUUCUGUGUUCUUAUCCUCCCCUCACUUUACGGUUUAUUCUUUAAAAACCCUCAACUGCAACUGCUGGGGGUCAAUCUCCUCUGCCCCUGUGCGGGUUACGAGCUUGGCCUCAGCAUGCUGAUUCCUGAAUAAACUUCAUGCGAUAUUGCAUCAAGAA
RNAcentral lists this long non-coding RNA (3107 nucleotides) under Mus musculus (house mouse). Its description in RNAcentral is "RIKEN cDNA 5730471H19 gene". Lineage: Eukaryota; Metazoa; Chordata; Mammalia; Rodentia; Muridae. The record is from RNAcentral.